This 362-nucleotide long non-coding RNA is filed under the name Nicotiana benthamiana. Its description in RNAcentral is "long non-coding RNA (NBEN_LNC033080)". Lineage: Eukaryota; Viridiplantae; Streptophyta; Magnoliopsida; Solanales; Solanaceae. The record is from RNAcentral.
GAGCAACUCUUCUCAAAAUCUCACUCAAAAAGUGCUGAGUUGGAAUCCCAUUCUAACUAAGAAUGAGUCAUUGCCCUUCUCCGACCCUGACUGCCCAACCUGAGAGCAGACAGCUAAUGCGUUCCACUUAUUGAACAGGGUUCUAUGGUCGGUUCGUGACCCCUGGAUGCCGAAGGCGUCCUUGGGGUGAUCUCGUAGUUCCUACGGGGUGGAGAUGAUGGGGUCGGUCCAUGGAUUUUCCUUCCUUGGAAUCCCAUUCUAACUAAGAAUGAGUCAUUGCCCUUCUCCGACCCUGACUGCCCAACCUGAGAGCAGACAGCUAAUGCGUUCCACUUAUUGAACAUGGUUCUAUGGUCGGUCCG